CAGCAGCCGCCGCGGUAAAACGAAGGGGGCUAGCGUUGUUCGGAAUUACUGGGCGUAAAGCGCACGUAGGCGGAUAUUUAAGUCAGGGGUGAAAUCCCGCAGCUCAACUGCGGAACUGCCUUUGAUACUGGGUAUCUUGAGUAUGGAAGAGGUUAGUGGAAUUGCGAGUGUAGAGGUGAAAUUCGUAGAUAUUCGCAGGAACACCAGUGGCGAAGGCGGCUAACUGGUCCAUAACUGACGCUGAGGUGCGAAAGCGUGGGGAGCAAACAGGAUUAGAUACCCGAGUAGUCCCUGUCUCUUAUAU
Molecule: ribosomal RNA, 304 nt
Filed under: uncultured bacterium
Lineage: Bacteria
Description: partial 16S ribosomal RNA
Rfam family: Bacterial small subunit ribosomal RNA
Source: RNAcentral